Molecule: ribosomal RNA, 197 nt
Filed under: uncultured Coriobacteriales bacterium
Lineage: Bacteria; Bacillati; Actinomycetota; Coriobacteriia; Coriobacteriales
Description: partial 16S ribosomal RNA
Source: RNAcentral
GGAGUUUGGGCCGUGUCUCAGUCCCAAUGUGGCCGGUCACCCUCUCAGGUCGGCUAUGGAUCGUCGGUUUGGUGGGCCGUUACCCCCGCCAACUGCCUAAUCCAACGCGGGGCCAUCCCAUACCACCGGAGUUUUUCACACAGAGCGAUGCCGCUCCGUGCGCUUAUGCGGUAUUAGCAGUCGUUUCCAACUGUUGU